Molecule: ribosomal RNA, 466 nt
Filed under: uncultured bacterium
Lineage: Bacteria
Description: partial 16S ribosomal RNA
Rfam family: Bacterial small subunit ribosomal RNA
Source: RNAcentral
GAUGAACGCUGGCGGCGUGCUUAACACAUGCAAGUCGAACGGAAAGGCUCCUGCUUGCAGGGGUACUCGAGUGGCGAACGGGUGAGUAACACGUGGGUGAUCUGCCCUGCACUUCGGGAUAAGCCUGGGAAACUGGGUCUAAUACCGGAUAGGACGAUGUUUUGGAUGCCAUUGUGGAAAGUUUUUUCGGUGUGGGAUGAGCUCGCGGCUUAUCCGCUUGUUGGUGGGGUAAUGGCCUACUAAGGCGUCGACGGGUAGCCGGCCUGAGAGGGUGUACGGCCACAUUGGGACUGAGAUACGGCCCAGAAUCCUACGGGAGGCAGCAGUGGGGAAUAUUGCACAAUGGGCGCAAGCCUGAGGCAGCGACGCCGGGUGGGGGAUGACGGCCUUCGGGUUGUAAACUCCUUUCGCUAGGGACGAAGCGCAAGUGACGGUACCUGGAGAAGAAGCACCGGCUAACUACGUG